CUGAUCAGCCCGGAAGCUGUUACGUCACUUCCGUUGUAUCAGCUCCAGCGCUGAUCAGUG
Molecule: microRNA precursor, 60 nt
Filed under: Branchiostoma floridae (Florida lancelet)
Lineage: Eukaryota; Metazoa; Chordata; Leptocardii; Amphioxiformes; Branchiostomatidae
Description: Bfl-Mir-4868-P1_pre stem-loop
Rfam family: mir-4868 microRNA precursor family
Source: RNAcentral